GACGAACGCUGGCGGCGUGCUUAACACAUGCAAGUCGAACGGUCAACCUCGUCGGAGGGUCUCAGUAGCUAACGGGUGGAUAACACAUUAGCAACCUGCCCCCGUCUCUGGGAUAACUCCAAAACAUUGGGACUCAUACCGGAUGUUCACCGCUUCCCUCAUAGCUGGUGGUUGGAAGGGUUUCCGUUUGGGGAUUGGCCCGCGGCCUAUCAGCUUGUUGGUGGUGGAGUGGCAUACGAAGGCCACGAUAGGUAGCCGGCCUGAGAGGGUGAACGGGCACACUGGGACUGAGGGAGGGCGCAGACGGCUACGGGAGGCAGCGGGGGGGAAUAUGGCGCAGUGGGGGGAAGCGUGACACGGAGAUGCCGGGUGGGGGAUGACGGCCUUCGGGUUGUAAACAUCUUUCUGCGGAGACGAAGCGGAAGUGACGGUACCUGAAGAAGAAGCACCGGCCAACUACGUG
This 463-nucleotide ribosomal RNA is filed under the name uncultured bacterium. RNAcentral's name for it is "partial 16S ribosomal RNA". It matches the Rfam family "Bacterial small subunit ribosomal RNA", at positions 28 to 507 of the family's 1533-position model. The record is from RNAcentral.